RNAcentral lists this unclassified non-coding RNA (2709 nucleotides) under Leishmania donovani. Its description in RNAcentral is "gene:LdHU3.28.1230(CDS-product:Archaic_translocas e_outer_mitochondrial_membrane_46_kDa_subunit_putative)". Lineage: Eukaryota; Euglenozoa; Kinetoplastea; Trypanosomatida; Trypanosomatidae. The record is from RNAcentral.
UACCCCCGCCCUUAUUUGCACGGCGUCUUUUAUAUUUUACCUCUGUUAGUCUCCCUCCUGCGGUGGUGGUAGCCUUGAUUGCCCGUGUAUUGUUGCUGUCGUUGUUAUCGCUGCACCGGCACAGCCCAUCGUACUCACUAUCUCGGGCUCCCUUCUGUGUGUGUUUGUGUUUUUUGUUGGAGUCCCCUAGAAAAAGCGCAGAGACACACGAGCAAAUUCCGUGCUGUCGUGCUGGCUCGCUGCGCCUCCGUCCCUCUCUCUCGUUCGCUUACGCGAGGGGUACUAGCGCCUCUCCGCCCUCUCCACACUCGCGACGACACCCGUGAACACAACAGAGGCACGUGCCGAAAAAAAAAAGAUGGAGUCGCCAAUCAACCCAGCCGUGUGGAAGGUGCUCUUCAACGCUGCUCUCGGCACCCUCUCGGUCGCCAUCCUCUACUCUGUCUACCACCAGAGGUACGACAUGGAGUCGGCGCAGCGGGCGGCGUUCCUGGAGCUGCGCAAGGCGGACUCCGAGGAGGCCCGUGUGGCGAAGCUGACGGAGCUGCAGGCGGCAUGCAAGCCGGAGGUGGUCCGCCGCCAGCCUUCUGCUCGCAUGAGCGCCCUCAAGCACGGCGCCCCGAUUGUGCAGAUGGCGAAGCUGCAGAAGGAUGGCACGAACGUGGAGAGUGUUCGCUUGGCUAUCAAGGUCAUCCUGUACAUCUACGGCCCCGACGCCGAGGGCCGACAGAAGCUGAACAGCCUUGAUGGCUACAAGGUCCUGUUAACGACUCUAAGCGAGGCGCAGCGGCAGGGAGAGGCGGACUUGAUGGAGGAUGUGGCUCAGGCGCUGGAUGCGCUGACAGAGGUGGACGACUCCGAGGUCGUCCUCGACACGGAUGUGCCCAAGGGUAGCGAAGGCGCCGCCACGCUGGCCCGCUUGCCGGCCACCGUGAAAAUGCUGCGCAUCCUCGACCCGGAAGGCUCCGUCACGUUCCUCGCAUCGCUCACGGGCAUCUUUGCAAACAUCUGCACUCUCGCGGAGGGUGCGGCCAACAUCGGUAGUGGCGUAGAUGGGCACAGCGGCAUGUCCUUCUUCUUGCGGCUGUUGGACCACACCAACCGCCGCGUCGUAGCGAACGCCAUCACGGCCGUGCGCUUCCUCACUCGUGCGCAGGUCUGCCAGGAGGAGCUGAUCGAGGAGGAGAACUUGACGCGCCUGGCGGACAACCUGCAUGUGACCGGCGAACCGGUGGUCGUGAACUCUAUCCUGACGGUCGUCCUGGUGAUGGCCGGCAGCAAGAAGUAUGGCGAGGCCUUCUUCUCCGGGAUCGCCUCCAGCACUAUUCCCAGCACCCUCUUCGAGUUGUGGAUACGCUCCCCUGAGAAAUCGCUGCGCAGUCGUGCGGAGGUGCUGUCGCGUUUGCUGCUGCGCAUCCCGCAGACAGCCCCCAUCGCGGCUGCUCUAUUCGAGCGCUUCCGCCCACAGCUGGAGGAGCGCCGCCGGCGUGAUGAGGAGGAGUACAAGCAGCAGAUGCAGCAGAUGCAGCAGAACCAGAUGAUGCAGCGAAUGAUGAUGGAACAGAUGGGCAUUGAUCCCUCCAUGAUGGGCUAGGCGCGGCAAUACCUGGAAUGAGGGGACACCCACCAGGUAUGCCAUCAAGCCGCACCAAGCGGAUGAGAAUACCACGAUGCCGUCGCGCGCACUCAAAGACCAUCGCAAAGCGUGUAUGAGGAGAGCCGGCACGUCGCAGUGCACGUCCACGGCUGUGUGAUGUGUAUGCGCUCACACCGUACGAUCAUCCCUGUCUCUGACCCACAUCGUUUGGCUGUGUAAGUCUUCUCUUUCCAUCAGGCAGUGCUCCUUCAUCUCGACUUUUCAUUUUUUCGUGUGUGGGGCGGCGGCUUUUGUGCGCGCGGGCCGCAACGGCGUCUUUGCUCGAGGGCAGUGCAGCGGAUCACCAACUUGGGUUAGUUUUGCAGGCUAUAUGCGCGUGCGCACGUCUCUGAAUGUUCUUCUCUCUUGCCUGCACGCUGGAUCGUACGGAUGGGGUCUACUAUGUGCGUCGUGGUUCGUUGUUUAAGAUCCGACAUAUAAAACAAAAGUGGAGGGUGGCAUACACUCAGGCGAUCCCGCGCAAGUGAGAGGCGAAACGAGCGAGCUGGAGAAGGUCUUUGGAGCAGCGGCGUGCUUGUGUGGAAAGGGCGAGAGGCUUCGUUGUCGGCUCGUGGAGAUGAGCAGCAGAGUAAGGAAACGGGGCAAUCGAAUCGAGGAAGAGCAAGAGAAGCGCACCCAACGACGUCACGUGGCGUACCUAGGAUGCGUGUGGUGCGCGCCGGUGCGUCGCGGCGUGCCCUCUCUCUUUGACUUCUCGACGGUUUUCCCUUUUCUUCUGUCUUCCUCACUCCCCUCGGCCUUCCGCCGAGCUCGGAGGACAGGACUGAUAGCAGUUUUAGCGCCGCUUUCAGUCUCCCUACCUUGUCCUCUUCAUGUGCGUCUCUCUGCCUGUGUGUGUGUUUGUGUGUGUGUGUGUGUGUGUGUCGCGCUCUCUACGCGGUCUACGGUACGCCCUCCUCCGUGUCUUUCACCGCCGUCUCUCUCGUUCUCCACACACAACAACAACAAGCGAUAAGACGAAGUACUAAAAGGCAAACCAAACAAAAUACAAAGAGAGCCACAGCGAGCGGAGGAAGCUGACAUGAUGAGGUGCGGCGCUGAAGCGCUCAACG